This is a long non-coding RNA of Syngnathoides biaculeatus (alligator pipefish), 395 nucleotides long. RefSeq lists it as uncharacterized. The transcript is spliced from 3 exons. The record is from RefSeq and is a predicted model, not a curated record. NCBI's taxonomy places the organism in Eukaryota, Metazoa, Chordata, Actinopteri, Syngnathiformes, Syngnathidae.
CAGAUGUCACAGAAGUUACCACUUCCUGAAAUAACUAAAAACGACUCAGAGAUCCUUGCCGCCAACCUCAACAACACACCGUGGACAAAGCUGAAGCUGCCACUACGACACAGCACCCGGCGUGACAAGCAAGGCCUUUCUGUCCGAUAAAUCAAGGACGUCCAGGACUCCAAGGGAAAGGUGUUUACUGGAAAAGACAUUUGCGAUGUUGCAGAGGAAGACAGGGAGACAACACUGCUGAGUUCCCUAAGACUCAACAAAGCACCACUCAGGAUCAUUGAAGGGGAAGAUCAAAAGAUCAGAGCAUAAUGAGACCCAAGCUCACUUCCACCGAAUCCUCAUCUGACUGUCACUCCCCUAGAUCCCAUAUCAGGUUUCUCCCCAUGCACCCCCCC